CCUACGGGGGACAGCAGUGGGGGAUAUUGCACAAUGGGGGAAACCCUGAUGCAGCGACGCCGCGUGAGCGAUGAAGUAUUUCGUUAUGUAAAGCUCUAUCAGCAGGGAAGAAAAUGACGGUACCUGCCUAAGACGCCCCGGCUAACUACGUGCCAGCAGCCGCGGUAAUACGUAGGGGGCAAGCGUUAUCCGGAUUUACUGGGUGUAAAGGGAGCGUAGACGGCAGUGCAAGUCUGCAGUGAAAGGCGGGGGCUCAACCUCUGGACUGCUGUGGAAACUGUGCGGCUGGAGUGCAGGAGAGGCAAGUGGAAUUCCUAGUGUAGCGGUGAAAUGCGUAGAUAUUAGGAGGAACACCAGUGGCGAAGGCGGCUUACUGGACGGUGACUGACGUUGAGGCUCGAAAGCGUGGGGAGCAAACAGGAUUAGAUACCCUAGUAGUC
Molecule: ribosomal RNA, 440 nt
Filed under: uncultured bacterium
Lineage: Bacteria
Description: partial 16S ribosomal RNA
Rfam family: Bacterial small subunit ribosomal RNA
Source: RNAcentral